RNAcentral lists this transfer RNA (96 nucleotides) under Aromia moschata. RNAcentral's name for it is "tRNA-OTHER". The record is from RNAcentral. Lineage: Eukaryota; Metazoa; Arthropoda; Insecta; Coleoptera; Cerambycidae.
GCCACGUGGAUAGCUCAGUGGGUAAAGCGCCAGGUGAGAAGACGGCGAUUACUCCGAGAGCUAUUACCCGCGCGGGUUCGAAUCGCGCCUGUGGCA